AAUUUUGGGAACACAUGGAUGAUUUAAUAUAGGGUUUUGGCCACGACGAAUCGAUUAUCAUUGAAGGUGACUUGAACGAACAUGUUGGGAGAGAUCGUAGAGGAUAUGAAGUUGUCCAUGGCGGUUUUGGGAUUGGAGAGGAGAAUGAAG
Molecule: long non-coding RNA, 150 nt
Organism: Telopea speciosissima
Lineage: Eukaryota; Viridiplantae; Streptophyta; Magnoliopsida; Proteales; Proteaceae
Exons: 3
Source: RefSeq, a predicted model, not a curated record